RNAcentral lists this transfer RNA (67 nucleotides) under Paratomella rubra. RNAcentral describes it as "tRNA-Glu". Lineage: Eukaryota; Metazoa; Xenacoelomorpha; Acoela; Paratomellidae. The record is from RNAcentral.
AAAGGAUUCAUUUAUAAAAGAUAUAAAAUUUCGAAUUUUAAUAAUAUAGUGUAUCUAUAAUUCUUUA